RNAcentral lists this long non-coding RNA (4658 nucleotides) under Homo sapiens (human). Its description in RNAcentral is "non-protein coding SLC16A1-AS1:22". Lineage: Eukaryota; Metazoa; Chordata; Mammalia; Primates; Hominidae. The record is from RNAcentral.
AGACUCGCCCUUGGGUCCCUGUCUGACGAGCUCUAGGCAAUCUGCCCUCGUUCGGGACACAACCAUCGGUCUCACCCCUCAGUUUCUGCCAGAGAAAAAGGAAAAGUCACCGAGAGGCCUGACCCUGACGGGUGGGGGAGAUGCGCGUGCGGAGUAGCGGGAAGCGACUGAGGAGCGGGGAAUGGGCAGCAUUUGAAUGGAUGCGGGUGCCGCUGGCACCCGGGAAGACGCUGGGGGCCGGCGCUGUAGAGCCGGGCAUGGGCUGGGAUGUGUUUGGAUUCCAAUCCGGGCCUGACACCAGUUCAGUGACCUCGGGAAGUUCCCCAACCCUCCGGGCCUGUUUCCUCCCUCUGAAGUGGCGACAGUAGUAGAACCGACCUCGUAGGCUCAUCGGGAGGUCCUGAUGGGAGAACCCAUGCAACUUGCCACCAUAGAGCCAGGCCCGCGGCGGUUGGCGCCUGGUGGGUAUUAAAGACGAGUCGGGAAAGAAGAGCAGGUUGAUAGACUGGAUGCUGCUAUGGUAAUCUGCCUCAGGAAAAUGCCGGACUGUUGUUUGCAAGCUGGUUAAGUGAGCAAAUCUUGGGAAGAUUUCAAGCACACCAACAUGGCACAUGUAUACAUAUGUAACAAACCUGCACAUUGUGCACAUGUACCCUAAAACUUAAAGUGUAACAAUAAUAAAAUUUUUUUAAAAAAGUUUAUUCUUAAGUAUCUUAUUUUUGUGUAGUUAUUGUAAAUGGAAUUAUCUUCCUGAUUUCUUUUAGGAAAGGAUUCUUUUUAAACAAUAUUUUGUCAUUAAGAACACUGCCCCCCCCUCAUAAUAUAUAAUAAUUUAAUAGGGAAUAUGGAAAAUGUGAUUUGCUUUUGAACCAUGUUUGAAAAAAGGUUUGCUAAACAAAUACCUGGAGUAAAGAAGAUAAUGCCAAUCCUAAAGACAUUCUUUCUUUAAAGUUGAGAGCCCUCUCAUUCAGAAUAUCAUCAUCUAAUUUCAGGUUAUAUGUCAGGUGUAGUCCUACUGCUUUCAAAGGCCUAUGUCUGGAUCUAGGAUGAAUUUUGCCAUUCUUUAAAGAAAGACUAACUCGGUAUUCGUGAGAUGCACUCUAAGCUCCUCCCUGACCUCCCCCGUUUCUCUUCAGCUCUCUUUGCUCUGUUUUGACCUAUCACUUAUCUUACCAGCUUGCACCAGUUUAGUAUCCUAAUCAGUUACUUCUCUGGCACUCUACUGACAUGGCAUGGCGCAGUCAAAAUAGUUUGCUAGAAAACAAAAUGUUUGCAAUAAAAAUGUCUUCAACAUGACAAAUAAGUCAAAAAUUAUUGUUUCCAACUGCUGGUUUUUUGUAUGUUUAGUUAUUCUGGUGGCCAGGGAUUUGCUUUAUUGCUUCUUUGGGCCUUUGAGAAUUUUUUUGUGCACACACAGACACACACACACACACACAUAUAUAUAUGUUUCUUAAGGAAUCAUAUUGUACAUACUGUUUCUUUCCACUAACACGGAAUCUCACUCUGUCUGCCAGGCUGGAGUGCAGUGGCGAGAUCUCAGCUCACUGCAACCUCGGCCUCCCGGGUUCAAGCGAUUCUCCUGCCUCAGCCUCCCAAGUAGCUAGGCUUACAGGGGCGUGCCACCAUGCCCGACUGAUUUUUGUAUUUUUAGUAGAGACAGGGUUUCACCAUGUUGGCCAGGCUAGUCUUGAACCCCUGACCUCAGAUCCACCCGCCUCGGCCUCCCAAAUUGCUGGGAUUACAGGCGUGAGCCACCACGCCUGGCCGCUGUUUACUACUUUUUAAAUAUUUGCAGGCUGGGCGUGGCAGCUCACGCCUGUAAUCCCAGCACUUUGGAAGGCUGAGGCAGGUGGAUCACGAGGUCGGGAGUUUCAGACCAGCCUGGCCAAAGUGGUGAAACCCCGUCUCUACUAAAAAUACAAAAAUUGGUGGCGGGUGCCUGUAAUCCCAGCUACUCGGGAGGCUGAGGCAGAGAAUUGCUUGAACCCGGGAGGCAGAGGUUGUAGUGAGCUGAGAUGGCGCCACUGCAUUCCAGCCUGGGCGACAGCGAGCCUUUGUCUCAAAAAAUAUAUAUAUAUAUAUAUUUGCAAUGGCUUGAUAAUAUGAAACAUUUACGUUGCUUCUUAAUAAUUAUCUAAGAAUUAAUUUAGAUUAAAAAGCACAAAAGUUUGAAACAUACCUAAAAUAUUAUGAUAAUCUGACAGUACUGCUUUAAAACUUUAAAGGUGGCAAAACAAUCCAUAUGGAAAACAAGCAGCUGAGAAUAUUCCUUUUUGACCCAUUUAUCUUCAAAUUCAAUUUGUUUUCCUUUUUUUUUUUUUUUUUGAGAUGGAGUCUUGCUCUGUCGCCCAGGCUGGAGUGCAGUGGCGCGAUUUUGGCGCACUGCAAGCUCGGCCUCCCAGGUUCACGCCACUCUCCUGCCUCAGCCUCCUGAGUAGCUGGGACUACAGGCACCCACCACCACGUAGAGAUGGAGUUUCACCAUGUUAGCUAGGAUGGUCUCGAUCUCCUGACCUCGUGAUCCUUCCACCUUGGCCUCCCAAAGUGCUGGGAUUACAGGCGUGAGCCACUGCACCCGGCCAAAUUAAAUUUGUUUUUAACCAGAUUACCUGAGGCUCAAUCUAUGUCAUCCUAAUUCCCACUCUGGUCUGAUAUGGCUUGACUCCUGUUCCUUGUUUUUGCUAGCCCAGGGGGAUAGUUUUGACCUGUGCUCUUUGUAAUGUACAUCAUCGCUAUUUAGGAUCUUUUCUAGGAAGCAUUCUUUCUAGAGAUGGUCCUAUGUAUUUGCCAGACCUGUUUUCUUCCUUGACCCCUAGCUACUAAAAGUCCUAACCCUGAGUAGCUUCCCCACCUCCCUCUUUUCCUCCCUCCCUUCCCUCCUUUCUUCCUUCCAUCUCUAGUAAAGUAUUUUAGGCAAAUGGGAUGGGGAGUUCAAUAAUAACAAUAAUAAAUUGAUGAUAGCCAAGAUUUCUGGGAUACUUACCAUAUGCCAAGCAUUGCUCUAAGCACUUUAGAUGUAGUAACACUCAUUAAUUCCUCACAAAAAUGCUAUAAACUAGGAACUGUUACAAUCCCCAUUUUACAGACAUAUACAGAUACAGAGAGGUUAAGUAGCUUCCCCAAGGUCACAUAAUCAGUAUUGUCUCGAGUCAUCAGAAAGUAGUCAUCAUGGCCGGGCAAGUUGUCUCACGCCUGUAAUCCCAGCACUUUGGGAGGCCAAGGCAGAUGGAUCACGAGGUCAGGAGUUUGAGACCAGCCUGGCCAACAUAGUGAAACCCUGUCUCUACUAAAAAUACAAAAAUUAGCCAGAUGUGGUGGCAGGCACCUGUAGUCCCAGAUACUUGGGAGGCUGAGGCAGGAGAAUGGCUUGAACCUGGGAGGGAAGGUUUACAGUGAGCUGAGACCGCACCAUCACACUCCAGCCUUGGCAACAGAGCAAGACUCUGCCUGAAAAAAAAAAAAAAAAGAAAGUAGUCAUCAUUUAGUUUUCACCAAAAAUACACAAGUAGAAAUUGUCAUUUUUAGCUAUUAAUACCAUAGGAGACUAAUCCAUAGAAUUUAAGGCCAUCUUGACUUAGAAAAACCCUGUUUUGGGUUCCUUUUAUGUUAGUAGAGCAAAACAACCAUUAUGAAAGCAUGUGCCAUGAAAGGUGCCUUUGAAACCAGAGAUUCACCACAGAGAACUACCCCUUGCUUAUCUGAAUUUGGGGUAGUUAUCAGUCUCUAGUCAGCUAAGUUGGGGACAAAGAUGAUGGGACAUGGUUUUGUUAGCAGCUUAUCUAUUUAUUUAUUUAUUUAUUUUUUGAGAUGGAGUUUCACUCUUUCACCCAGGCUGGAGUGAAGUGGUGCAAUCUCGGCUCACUGCAACGUCCGCCCCCUCGGUGGGUUCAAGCAAUUCUCCUGUGUCAGCCUCCAAAGCAGCUGGGAUUACAGGCGCAUGCCACCACACCAGGCUGAUUUUUGUAUGUUUAGUAGAGAUGGGAUUUCACCAUGUUGGCCAGGCUAGUCUUGAACUUCUGACCUCAGGUGAUCCACCCACCUCAGCCUCCCAAAGUGCUGCAAUUACAGGUGUGAGUCACCACGCCCAGCCAACUAACAGCUUAAUUUUAAGGUCACCUAUUUCUAGGAAGUUCUGGGUGUCCUGGUCCCCAUAUUCCAUGCUAUAAGAUCAUUCAGUGUGAGAACCUGGACUUUAUAGCCCUCACCCAAAGCAGCAGCAGAUAGUUGGAAUUAUUGGACAGCUGCACAUCAAGCCUACUGUGAUUCAGCUGAGGGGUGCAUGCAGCGAAGGAGGCCUCUAACAUCACAGUGACUGGCUUUGUGUAUCCAUCUGCCUGGGGAUCCAGACCUGGGUGUUCUACCUGGACCUUCAUACUGCUGCACUGGUGAGCAAGAUGAGGCUUAAAUAAAGCAUACUAUUCAAUUUGUGGUGACCUCUGAGAACCCCAAAUCUGCCAUGAAUCCCUGCACCACACAAUACCUGUGACACCUGUGCCAAGGUGAGGUCCAGUAGCUACCAAACCUACUUCUGAGCUGCAUAUUAGAGUGAAGCCUUCCUCCCUACCCUCCCUCUGUCUUACCUUUUGCACAAAUCAUGGGUUCAGAUGUUAUACCUAUUAUUGCACUCUGAUAAGUUUUUUUUUUUUUUUUUUUUGCAG